RNAcentral lists this ribosomal RNA (2372 nucleotides) under Durio zibethinus. Its description in RNAcentral is "eukaryotic LSU rRNA". It matches the Rfam family "Eukaryotic large subunit ribosomal RNA". The record is from RNAcentral. Lineage: Eukaryota; Viridiplantae; Streptophyta; Magnoliopsida; Malvales; Malvaceae.
UUAUUUUAUUUUGAAUAAUUCUGUAUGAACAAAAACAAUUAUUUUACCACAAAACAAAAGGUCAUAAUAAUUUAAAAUAGCUAAUUGUUCAAAUGGACAUAACUAUUUGAACUUGUUCGAUAAACAGAUAUAUUUUUUAAAUCUCCUACCUAUUAACUUGCAAAAUAUUAAUAAAGUAGUAUUAUUUUAUUUUGAAUAAACUUAUAUGAAUAGAAACAAUUGUUUUAUGACAAAACGAAAGAUCCUAACUAUUUGAAAUAAAAAAUUGCUUAAACAGUCAUAACAAUUUGAGCUUACUCAGUAAACAAAUUCAUUUUAUAAAUCUUUUACUUAUUAAGUUUUGAAAUAUUAAUAAACUAGUAUUAUUUUAUUUCAAAUAAGCUUGUAUGGACAUAAAAAAUUCGUUUAUCACAAAACAAAAGGUCAUAACUAUUUAAAAUAAAUAGCAAAUAUUCAAAUGAGGACUUUAAAGGUUGAAGGGGGAAAGGUUCCAUGUGAACAGCACUUGAACAUAGAUUAGUCGAUCUUAAGAGAUGGGGGGAGUUAGCCCAACAGCGCAUCGAGUGCAAGCUUUGAAAGGGAAUUGGGUUAAAAUUCAUAAGCCAGAACGUGGAGGCUAAUGGCAACGUUAUCUUUUUUGUUUGGAGUCGUCGGUAGGGGCUUCAACAAGAGUUAUCUUUUUUGUUUAACAGCCUACCCACCCUAGAAACAACUCAGCUGGAGGGAGGGUCUAGUGGUCGAAAGAGCACCACACGUCACAUGGUGUUUGGUGCACCCUCAACAGCCCUUGCAAAUCUAAAGGAUCAUGCUAUCCUUGCCUAGUUAUACUCAUAACCACAUCAGGUUUCCAAGGUGAAUAGCCUCUAGUUGAUGGAACAAUGUAGGCAAGGGAAAUUGACAAAAUGGAUCUGUAACCUUGAGAAAAGGAUUGGCUCUAAGGGCUAGGCACUGGGGUCCCAGUGUCGAACCUAUUAGCUACUGGAACAUUACUCAAGUUACUUCCAUGGCGAAAGUAGGUCACCAUAUGCCGACCAAGGGAUGGAUAGGAAAAGCUCCCUCAAGGGUUUUUCUUUUCCCAAGUGAUAAACAGUUGACUCAAAACUUAUAUAGACAAGGGGAAUCUGAUUGUUUAAUUAAAAAAAAAGCAUUAUGAUGGUCAUUAAGGAUGUUCACGCAAUGUGAUUUCUACCUAGUGUUUUGAGUGUCAAUGUGAAAAAAUUCAACCAAGCAUAGGUAAACGAUGAAAGUAACUAUGACUCUCUUAAGGUAGCCAAAUGCUUUGUCAUCUAAUUAGUGAUGCAUAUUAAUAGAUUAAUGAGAUUCCCAUUGUCCCUGUCUACCAUCUAGCAAAACCAUAACCAAGGGAAUGGGCUUGGUAGAAUCAACAAAAGAGAAGACCUUAUUAAGUUGACUUUAGUCUAACUUUGUGAAAUGACUUGAGAGGUGUAGGAUAAGUGGGAGACCUCAUAUGAAAUUGAAAUACCACUACUUUUAACAUUAUUUUACUUAUUUUGUGAAUCGAAAGCAGGGCACAACCCCUUUUUUUGGACCCAAGGUGGGCCUGAGUUAGUCAAUCUAGGUAAAAAACAUUCUUGGGUGGGGAGUUUGGCUGGAAGGGUAAAUUUGUUAAAAGAUAAUACAGGUGUCCCUAAGAUGAGCUCAAUGAGAAUAGAAAACAUAUGUGGAACAAAAGGGUAAAAGCUCAUUUGAUUUUAAUUUCCAGUAUGAAUAUGAAUUAUGAAAGCAUGGCCUAUCAAUCCUUUAUACCUUUGGAAUUUGAAGCUAGGGGUGUCAGAAAAGUUACCAUAGGGAUAACUGGCUAGUGGUAGCUAAGCAUGCGUAGCAACAUUGCUUUUUGAUCCUUCGAUGCCAACUUUUCCUAUCAUUGUGAAGCCAAAUUCACCAAGUGUUGGAUUGUUCACCCACUAAUAGAAAACAUGAGCUGGGUUUAGACUAUCGUGAGAUAGGUUAGUUUUACCUUAUUGAUGGCAGUGUCGCAAUAGUAAUUCAACUAGUAGAGAGGAAUUGUUGAUUCACAUAAUUGGUCAUCGUGCUUGGUUAAAAUGUUAAUGGUGCAAAGCUACCAUGUGCUAGAUUAUGACUGGAACACGUCUAAGUUAGAAUUUGGGCUAAAAGCGAUGCAUGUGCUUGUCACCCGACUUGUCAACCCACAGUGAAAGCCUAUGGCCCCAAAGGUACAUGCUGUAGGUGCAACCUCUAAGGUGAACAAAUUAUGCGAGCCUCUUUAGAGCUUAAUUCCCACAAAGUGACAGGUAGAAUCCUUUGUAGAUGACUUAAUUAUGAUGGGAGUACUGUAAGUGGGUAGAGUGGCCUUGCUGCCACUGUGCCAUGAUCCCUAGAUUUAGCCCUUU